AAUUAAAGUAUAUUUGUUUUUUUUAUCACAAUCUAUGUAGUCAGUAUGAAUAUAGAUUUCCGGACAGACAUUCUUAAAAUGCUACACCAACUGUCAAUAUUUUUAUUCCUAAGCUUAGUUGGUUAUACUUCUGGAGUGAAUUUCCUCUACAACUGUCGUUCUAUACAUGAUCCAAUUCCUAAAGUAAAUAAUAUGCAACUAGAUAUCAAGAAAUUAUCGUUUUGGGCCAAAUAUUUUGGUUUUACUUGUGAUUUUGAUACUUGAUGAUAUGCGCGACAUCACCCCAAGCGACUUAAUGAAUCUGUGAUUAUAAUAUUUUGUUCUGUA
Molecule: long non-coding RNA, 327 nt
Organism: Cydia pomonella (codling moth)
Lineage: Eukaryota; Metazoa; Arthropoda; Insecta; Lepidoptera; Tortricidae
Exons: 4
Source: RefSeq, a predicted model, not a curated record